Callorhinus ursinus (northern fur seal) is the source of this 1088-nucleotide long non-coding RNA. RefSeq lists it as uncharacterized. The record is from RefSeq and is a predicted model, not a curated record. Lineage: Eukaryota; Metazoa; Chordata; Mammalia; Carnivora; Otariidae.
CAGUUCCUUCUCUUGUGCGGGCAGGGGCCGGGGAGGGGAGAUCUGUGCAAACUUAGAAAAGGCGUGCAGAUCAGUUAACGGGGACCUUCCCUAUUCAGCUGCGGCACUGUGGUGUUGGCACUGCCCUGGCCAGGAAGUAAGUAAGAGAGUGAGGGCUCACUGGACACUGGCCUGUGUCACUGCAUUGUUCUGAUUGGCCUUCCCAGGCCAAACGCCACAGGGACGGGAAGGUAAGCGGUCUGAAAUGCAGGCACCCACUUCAUUUGCAAACCUCACCUCUGAACUGGAACACAUUGGACCCAUCUCUCUGGCAACCUCCAGGGGUGACCUUCACCUUCCAACUGUCUUCCCCCGGCUCCUGGUCUGCAGGCUGCUGUCCUCAUCGGCCAGGCUGAGAAAGAGAUCUAAGAACAAUCGGGACCAGAUCUUUUCCUCUUCCAAAGGUGAAAUAGCACAUUGGAUAAUAUUACAGGAGCCCUUAAAGAGAGCCAGGAAGACAGAACUCGGGAGAUACGCGUGGGUCUGAGGCAGAUGUGGGCAAAAUGGCAGUGGUGACAUGUUACGAGACCACAGCGCAACACCACGACCAGGAUAGUGACGCUGAUACAGUCGAACUUAGGAUAUUCCCAUCAUUGCCCUGUACAGACACCCCACCUGCUUCCCUCCCAACCUCCCGAACCCCGGCGGCCACUGAGCUGUCCUCCGUUGUUAGCAUCGCAUCUCUUCAAGCACGUUACUGAAGUGAAAUCUACGGGCUGUGGUAACAACCACCACGAAGCGGCGGCUUAGAGCAACAGAGACCUGGGUCUCACCGUUCUCCCAUCUGGAGGCCAGAGGCCGAAAUCAAGGCGUCUGCAGACCCUGCUCUCUCUGAAAGCUGUGGGGACAUCCUUCCUUGCCUCUUCCACCUUCUGUGGCGACCCCUGGCGACCCUUGGCUGACAGCUGCACACGUGUCACACGCGUCCCCCUGGCGAGUCUGCGUCUUCACAUGACGUGUUCAUCUUAAACGUUCCUUUCUUUUCUUUUUUUUUUUUUUUUUUUUUUUUUUUGACAGAGAGAGAGAGUGCGGGAGAGAGCAAGAGGGAG